AUACUAUAAGCAAGCACAUACACUAAACUUGGAAAGAUAUGGAGAAGAUCAGCAUGGGCGCUGCACAAGAAUGACAGGCAGAUUCAUGACGUGUUCUGUACUUAU
RNAcentral lists this small nuclear RNA (105 nucleotides) under Moschus moschiferus (Siberian musk deer). The record is from RNAcentral. Lineage: Eukaryota; Metazoa; Chordata; Mammalia; Artiodactyla; Moschidae.